UACGUAGGUGGCAAGCGUUAUCCGGAUUUACUGGGUGUAAAGGGCGUGUAGGCGGGACUGCAAGUCAGAUGUGAAAACCACGGGCUCAACCUGUGGCCUGCAUUUGAAACUGUAGUUCUUGAGUACUGGAGAGGCAGACGGAAUUCCUAGUGUAGCGGUGAAAUGCGUAGAUAUUAGGAGGAACACCAGUGGCGAAGGCGGUCUGCUGGACGGUGACUGACGCUGAGGCUCGAAAGCGUGGGGAGCAAACAGG
This 253-nucleotide ribosomal RNA is filed under the name uncultured bacterium. RNAcentral describes it as "partial 16S ribosomal RNA". It matches the Rfam family "Bacterial small subunit ribosomal RNA", at positions 524 to 776 of the family's 1533-position model. The record is from RNAcentral.